Molecule: transfer RNA, 65 nt
Filed under: Trichophoromyia ininii
Lineage: Eukaryota; Metazoa; Arthropoda; Insecta; Diptera; Psychodidae
Description: tRNA-Ala
Source: RNAcentral
AGGGGUAUAGUUAAUUAUAACAUUUAAAUUGCAUUUAAAAAGUACUGAAAAAAUCAGUUAUCCUU